AACGAACGCUGGCGGCAUGCCUAAAAAAUGAAAGCGGAAGGAACCUUCGGGGCUAAGGGCCCAAGGGGUCGUUACGGGGUGGGAACUUGCUUUAGGGUCGGGAUAACCCAGGAGAAUUUUAAGUUAUACCGGGUGGAUGCUUUGGACCAAAGAUUUAUCGCCUUUAGAUGGGCCCGCGUUGGAUUAGCUAGUUGGUGGGGUAAAGGCCUACCAAGGCGACGAUCCAUAGCUGGUCUGAGAGGAUGAUCAGCCACACUGGGACUGAGACACGGCCCAGACUCCUACGGGAGGCAGCAGUGGGGAAUAUUGGACAAUGGGCGAAAGCCUGAUCCAGCAAUGCCGCGUGAGUGAUGAAGGCCUUAGGGUUGUAAAGCUCUUUUACCCGAGAUGAUAAUGACAGUAUCGGGAGAAUAAGCUCCGGCUAACUCCGUG
RNAcentral lists this ribosomal RNA (432 nucleotides) under uncultured bacterium. RNAcentral describes it as "partial 16S ribosomal RNA". It matches the Rfam family "Bacterial small subunit ribosomal RNA", at positions 29 to 507 of the family's 1533-position model. The record is from RNAcentral.